AUACUGAACAUGCUAGAAUUGCUAUUACGGGAUUACAAAAGAGGAUAAAAAAACAUGAUGAAGAAAAGGAAAAGAUUAGGAGGAAAUAUCGAGUUUUGCUGAUCAUUGUGAUACUAUCUUGGAUUUAUAGAGAGUUCUUUAUGUAGUAAAUGUUAUGUAGAUUGGUUGAAAAAGUUAUGCCGGAAUCGUUUUGUUCGUAAUGUAGUUUUCCUUAUGGGUUAGUGGCUACCACUAUCUAUUGUAAGCAAUCAAAAUAAUGGAAGUGAAAUGCACUAUUUUAGAGUUGGCAACAGUUUUGUCUCUCAACAUUGGUUUUACUAUUCAUCACUUUUACAACUUACAAGGACAUUACUUAGCAUGAUUCAUACACUUUCAUACUAGCAUGAUUCACACACUUUCAUACAUAGUAAACACCUAACAUCAAGGCAGCCUAACAUCAAUCAUAACAAACACCAAAAGACUUCACAAAACAUAACUUAAUAUCCAUUAAACUAGGACAACUAAAUACCCUCCAAAGAUUUGUCUAUGCAAACAUACAUCAAAAUAACCCAAAAUACAUCAAAAUGAUCAAUAAUUGGAGUAUGCCUUUACAAACAGUUAUCAAAAUAAACAAAAACAAAGACCUCU
RNAcentral lists this long non-coding RNA (627 nucleotides) under Solanum tuberosum (potato). RNAcentral describes it as "long non-coding RNA (STUB_LNC001926)". Lineage: Eukaryota; Viridiplantae; Streptophyta; Magnoliopsida; Solanales; Solanaceae. The record is from RNAcentral.